Long non-coding RNA from Gadus macrocephalus (Pacific cod), 2469 nucleotides. RefSeq lists it as uncharacterized. The transcript has 3 exons. The record is from RefSeq and is a predicted model, not a curated record. Lineage: Eukaryota; Metazoa; Chordata; Actinopteri; Gadiformes; Gadidae.
AGAGUUGAAUGAAGUAGCCUACAUGUUGAUCCCAUUUGUAACAGCAGAGCAAGAUCCGUUUAUGUUGCUCAAAGACAAAUGCUGCAUGCUAUGCUUUCAGCAUUUUACAGUUCAGACAAUCCAUCAUCAGAUACAAGAAUAAACCUGUAUGGCACAGAAGCAGCUGUAAUAUUAGUAUGAAAUGAAUCCACAAAUUUGAUCUAAAUAGGUAUGCUACAUUUGAUACUGAUUUCGGUGUUGAAUAUUCUCCUUCAACAUUUAGGCUUGUGGUGUUCAGUCUUCUGGAACACACAUGGACCUUUCAGAGUUGGCUGGAGUCACUCAGUCUACCCCAAAGAAGAGCAAAGACAACAGCGCUGAACAGUCCACAUCUAGUCUGCUCUCAGCUUUGACCUUAUCUCUGACUAGUCCAGAACCAGCCGUGGUCAGGCCAGGCACACAGCCCACACUAUCUGGCAGAUACCUGGCACGGCCUCCAACGUGGAAACUUCAAGAGGUAAGCAUUGCAUCACAAAUGUUGCCGUUGAUGUUUCAAGCCAAGAGACUUGACAUUGUGAACUGUAUAUUUAUUUAUUUUUAAUUGCAAGGUAUUGGGUGCUACAUCGGCAUCAUGGAUUCUGCCUCAUUCUGCCCCAGAAGACAUUUCACCCGUGAGUGAAUGGCUUGCUUUUCCAGCCCUAUCUAACUGUAUGCUUUGAUGUCAUUGUUGAACUCUGAUUUAAAAACUUGCUUUGUUUCAUAAAAUCCAAAAUAUAUCCCUGUAAAUUCCACAGGAAGAUGAAGAUGAUCCUCUACAUGAAAUGAGCACAAGUUUUGGUGAAUUUGGACUAAACGAUCCAGCUGACGAUAGCUUCGAGCCACUGAGUGACACCUCCCCAUCUAGUCCAGGAUCGUGUUCAGGUUCUACAUCCAGUAAAGGCUCUGAGAAUAGCUCGGCAGACAGGAGGUGGUUGGUGGAUGAGGCUAAACUGAUGGAACUUUUUAAAACAUGCCACCAAUGCGGAACAGCCAUCGAAGAGCAGACCACAACACAACAUGGAAGCAAAAUAAAAAUUAAAUGGACAUGCCUGCAAGGACACAGCGGAGAAUGGGAAUUGUGCCCGGACCCGAGGCAGAUGGGACCUAACAACAUACUGACCUGUGCUGCCAUCUUGUUUACAGGAGCAACCUUCACAGAUAUAAAAGACUGGGCAUAACUUGUCAACCUACAACUCCCCAGUAAAUCACAAUACUAUGCCAUCCAAUCCAAAUGCCUCAUUCCAGCUGUGAACGACGCAUACAAGGCUCAGCAAGAUAAAAACAUUGAGCAUGUCAGGGAACUGUGCUUCCGGACAGAAAGUUGACUUGGGAGGAGAUGCCAGGUGUGAUAGCCCGGGUAUGCAUAAUUAUUAAUUCAAUUUGAGUGUAAUUUUGAACACCAUAAGGUACAGCUAUAUUUAUGUGUAUGUAUUUAUUGUACAGGUUUCAGCGCCAAAUUCUCCACAUACUCCUUCCAGGAUGAUGCAACUGAAAAAAUUCCAGUUAGUCCAGGUAAAUCUGCAUGAAACUUUUGUGAACAAAAAUAUAUUACCAAGACAAGAUGUAUCCAGUUGGUUGGCUGAUAAAUAAGAAUGUUAUUCCAUAGGUCACAGAGGCCCCCAGCUCUGUUGCCAUGGAGGCAAUUGGAUUUCAAAGAGGCCUGGACCAUCUUCUUUCAAUGGAUUUGGAUGUUGGUGUCAUAACCACUGAUCGAGCUCCCUCUAUACGGAAAAUUAUGAGGGAGAGCUAUGGCCACAUCCGUCAUGAGUUUGACACAUGGCAUGUCAGUAAGGGCAUAAAGAAAAAACUUCUCAAUCUAGGCAACAAAAAAUAAAAUAGAGAUCUACUCCCAUGGCUAAAAUCUAUCUGCAAUCACCUGUACUGGUCCUGUAGCUCAAGUCAUGGUGAUGGAAAGGCAAGAAGGAACUUAUGUAUUGUCAAUGGGCAGGGGCACCAUAGUGCCAAAGACUGCACAAAAGCAAUAGGUGAAAUCUUUUGUGUAAAUUGUGAAUUGUGUAACCCAAAACCUUCAUUUCGUCUUUCAGGAAUGUGUGCGUCGGUGGACGUCACUGCUGCACCACAUCUGUGGUGUGCAUCGAUGGGAGGAGGCUGGGGUUGAACAUACAUGUCAUCAUGCACCAUUGACGGAGGAGGAACAACGAAAAAGAGGUGGAUGAAGUCUGAUUCUCCAGCGUUCCGGGCUGUGAAAGACGUACUCCUGGGAAAGAAUCUUCUGCGUGACUUGCAGCAGAUGGCCCUUUUCAAGCACACAGGGUCCCUUGAGGUAUACCUCUCAGGGAUGCUGAAGUAUGAACCGAAAAGGCUCCACUUCAGCUAUGACACCAUGCUGGCCCAACUGGCAGUCAUGGAUCAUAACGCAAAUGUUGGCAGGCCACAGGCUAAAACAGCAGAAGGUAAAGAGAAGUCUGCUUCUUUAAAUCUGUCAUAAAU